This 450-nucleotide ribosomal RNA is filed under the name uncultured bacterium. Its description in RNAcentral is "bacterial SSU rRNA". It matches the Rfam family "Bacterial small subunit ribosomal RNA", at positions 354 to 796 of the family's 1533-position model. The record is from RNAcentral.
GUGGGGAAUUUUGGACAAUGGGCGCAAGCCUGAUCCAGCAAUGCCGCGUGUGUGAAGAAGGCCUUCGGGUUGUAAAGCACUUUUGGCAGGAAAGAAAUAGCGCGUGCUAAUACCAUGCGCGAAUGACGGUACCUGCAGAAUAAGCACCGGCUAACUACGUGCCAGCAGCCGCGGUAAGACGUAGGGUGCAAGCGUUAAUCGGAAUUACUGGGCGUAAAGCGUGCGCAGGCGGUUUUGUAAGACAGGUGUGAAAUCCCCGGGCUCAACCUGGGAACUGCACUUGUGACUGCAAGGCUAGAGUGUGUCAGAGGGAGGUGGAAUUCCGCGUGUAGCAGUGAAAUGCGUAGAGAUGCGGAGGAACACCGAUGGCGAAGGCAGCCUCCUGGGAUAACACUGACGCUCAGGCACGAAAGCGUGGGGAGCAAACAGGAUUAGAAACCCGGGUAGUCC